UGUAUAUUGAAAAAAAAAAUCCCAGAAAAUAAAUACAAUUACUAGAUCGUGAGAACUGAGAAGUACGAGUAAAGCCAAGGGGAUCUGAAAUGUCACGAAUGGAAUGGGAGGUUGAAUUGUCUGUAAAUUUCAGAACCCAUUUGCAGCUUGGUCUUGAGAAAUACCGGUGAAGACAGAUAGGGUUUGACAUUGCUUGGACGUGUUUUGCAAAUUACAAUUGAUUUGUGAAAUAUUACAAACAAUACAAACCCAGGUAGUGGAUUGGGUCUAAUUUUAAAAAAGUGGCCCAAAAGAAAAGCCCACAAUUUAAAAAAAGAAAAAGAAACAAAAAAAAAAACUGUUCCGUCUUCCUUCCACUCCAUUCUCCGGUGCCUGUGUCCGUGUGAAUUUGCCGUUCAAGCUU
Molecule: long non-coding RNA, 403 nt
Filed under: Olea europaea (common olive)
Lineage: Eukaryota; Viridiplantae; Streptophyta; Magnoliopsida; Lamiales; Oleaceae
Description: long non-coding RNA (OEUR_LNC004789)
Source: RNAcentral